AGUGAACGCUGGCGGCAGGCCUAACACAUGCAAGUCGAACGGCAGCACAGGAGAGCUUGCUCUCUGGGUGGCGAGUGGCGGACGGGUGAGGAAUACAUCGGAAUCUACCUUGUCGUGGGGGAUAACGUAGGGAAACUUACGCUAAUACCGCAUACGACCUACGGGUGAAAGCAGGGGACCUUCGGGCCUUGCGCGAUUGGAUGAGCCGAUGUCGGAUUAGCUAGUUGGCGGGGUAAAGGCCCACCAAGGCGACGAUCCGUAGCUGGUCUGAGAGGAUGAUCAGCCACACUGGAACUGAGACACGGUCCAGACUCCUACGGGAGGCAGCAGUGGGGAAUAUUGGACAAUGGGCGCAAGCCUGAUCCAGCCAUGCCGCGUGGGUGAAGAAGGCCUUCGGGUUGUAAAGCCCUUUUGUUGGGAAAGAAAAGCAGCCGGCCAAUACCCGGUUGUUCUGACGGUACCCAAAGAAUAAGCACCGGCUAACUUCGUG
This 490-nucleotide ribosomal RNA is filed under the name uncultured bacterium. Its description in RNAcentral is "bacterial SSU rRNA". It matches the Rfam family "Bacterial small subunit ribosomal RNA", at positions 29 to 507 of the family's 1533-position model. RNAcentral also lists the same sequence under 1 other name. The record is from RNAcentral.